Molecule: long non-coding RNA, 771 nt
Organism: Xiphophorus hellerii (green swordtail)
Lineage: Eukaryota; Metazoa; Chordata; Actinopteri; Cyprinodontiformes; Poeciliidae
Exons: 2
Source: RefSeq, a predicted model, not a curated record
UAACGCCGCCGGGAAUUAUUACGUCAACGAUAAAUCUACCGGAUCCGUUGUGGCUCAGCAGCCGUUUGGAGGAGCCAGAGCUUCAGGUACCAACGAUAAGCCAGGCGGUCCUCACUAUGUCCUGAGGUGGACGUCUCCCCGGAUGGUGAAGCAGACUCAUGUUCCCCUCACAGAGUGGAAGUACCCAUAUAUGGGCUGAGGGACACCUGUCCACAUGUCCCCUCUCCCCAGCCCAUCCACUGGUCCACUCAUCAGUCCUCCGUCUCUCUCAGGCUCUCCAUCCGUCCUUCAUCUCUGUCCUCCUCUUCCUUGCCAUCCUCCUCUGUCUGUCCCUCUGAAGCUGGACAGGUCUGUCCAUCAGAUGGAGGGACAGUCUGUCUCUCUAUCUCACUCAGAUGUCCACAAACCAACGCUUGUCUCAGAAUCCCAGCUGGAAGCUUCAUGUGAUCCAUCAGAAAUCAGAUCAGAACCGCCAAUGGACUCAAUUCCGUUUGUAACUAAUAAGAUUAAAUCAGGAGCAGAGGUCCAUCAGAGCAGGUACUGAUCCUCCUGGAGGUCAUCCUGGAGGUCAGAGUGAUUAGAAACUGAAGGUAGUUAAAUGUGUCGGGUUCUACUGAGCAGAUGAUGAGUGUGUGUGUGUGGGUGUGUGUGUGUGCGUGUGUGUGUUUGUGGAGACGUUUCCUCCCAGAUCUGGAUGCUAACUCAUAACCGUGUCCGUCUCAGUGACUCUGGACAUUUAGAUGUUUGACAAUAAAUCAUUUCUAACAAUCA